UUUGCGGCGGCCAUGGCCCAGGUGAGACGCCCGGUCCCAUUCCGAACCCGGAAGCUAAGGCCUGGCACGGCGAUGGUACUGCACCCGACAGGGUGUGGGAGAGUAGCACGCCGCCGCACC
This 120-nucleotide ribosomal RNA is filed under the name Bifidobacterium longum NCC2705. The record is from RNAcentral. RNAcentral also lists the same sequence under 3 other names. Lineage: Bacteria; Bacillati; Actinomycetota; Actinomycetes; Bifidobacteriales; Bifidobacteriaceae.